GAUGAACGCUGGCGGCGUGCCUAAUACAUGCAAGUCGAGCGAACAGACGAGGAGCUUGCUCCUCUGACGUUAGCGGCGGACGGGUGAGCAACACGUGGAUAACCUACCUAUAAGACUGGGAUAACUUCGGGAAACCGGAGCUAAUACCGGAUAAUAUAUUGAACCGCAUGGUUCAAUAGUGAAAGACGGUUUUGCUGUCACUUAUAGAUGGAUCCGCGCCGCAUUAGCUAGUUGGUAAGGUAACGGCUUACCAAGGCAACGAUGCGUAGCCGACCUGAGAGGGUGAUCGGCCACACUGGAACUGAGACACGGUCCAGACUCCGACGGGAGGCAGCAGUAGGGAAGCUUCCGCAAUGGGCGAAAGCCUGACGGAGCAACGCCGCGUGAGUGAUGAAGGUCUUCGGAUCGUAAAACUCUGUUAUUAGGGAAGAACAAAUGUGUAAGUAACUAUGCACGUCUUGACGGUACCUAAGCAGAAAGCCACGGCUAACUACGU
Molecule: ribosomal RNA, 496 nt
Filed under: uncultured bacterium
Lineage: Bacteria
Description: partial 16S ribosomal RNA
Rfam family: Bacterial small subunit ribosomal RNA
Source: RNAcentral